Molecule: ribosomal RNA, 291 nt
Filed under: uncultured bacterium
Lineage: Bacteria
Description: partial 16S ribosomal RNA
Rfam family: Bacterial small subunit ribosomal RNA
Source: RNAcentral
GCCUACGGGACGCAGCAGUAGGGAAUCUUCCACAAUGGACGAAAGUCUGAUGGAGCAACGCCGCGUGAGUGAAGAAGGGUUUCGGCUCGUAAAGCUCUGUUGGUAGUGAAGAAAGAUAGAGGUAGUAACUGGCCUUUAUUUGACGGGAAUUACUUAGAAAGUCACGGCUAACUACGUACCAGCAGCCGCGGUAAUACGUAGGUGGCAAGCGUUGUCCGGAUUUAUUGGGGGUAAAGCGAGUGCAGGCGGUUUAAUAAGGUUGAUGUGAAAGCAUUUGGGUCAAACGGGGAA